CUACCAUGGCAGUCACGGGUAACGGAGAAUUAGGGUUCGAUUCCGGAGAGGGAGCCUGAGAAACGGCUACCACAUCUACGGAAGGCAGCAGGCGCGCAAAUUGCCCAAUCCCGACACGGGGAGGCAGUGACAAGAAAUAACAACUCUAGGUUUUCUUAGAAGUGUAAUGAGGAUAAUUUACAAACCUUACCAAAUGCAAUUGGAGGGCAAGUCUGGUGCCAGCAGCCGCGGUAAUUCCAGCUCCAAUAGCGUAUAUUAAAGUUGUUGCAGUUAAAAAGCUCGUAGUUGAAAAUCUGAUUGCUCAGGUCUCCAGCCUUUAGGCGGGGAUUCUGACAGUCAUCCGCUUGCAAACAUAUGUUCGAUCUUCACCGGUUGGCUAUGUGAGUAAGCACUUUACCUUGAGAAAAACAGAGUGUUCCAGGCAGGUUUGUCCGGAAUGCAUUAGCAUGGAAUAAUAGAACAUGACUGAAGUCUAUUUAUUGGUUAAAGGCUUUAGUAAUGAUUAAUAGGAACAGUCGGGGGCAUUCGUACUCAGCAGUCAGAGGUGAAAUUCUAAGAUUUGCUGAAGACGAACUAAUGCGAAAGCAUUUGCCAAGGAUGUUUUCAUUAAUCAAGAACGAAGGUUAGGGGAUC
Molecule: ribosomal RNA, 633 nt
Filed under: uncultured eukaryote
Lineage: Eukaryota
Description: SSU rRNA
Rfam family: Eukaryotic small subunit ribosomal RNA
Source: RNAcentral